UCCCUCCCUUCCUUCCUUCCUUCCUUUCUUUCUACUUUUAAUGCAUUCCUAUUCGAUGGUAGAGAGCAAGGCAAGGAAAAUGAUAACAAGCUUCAGAAAAAUCACCUCUGUCAAAGGUCUAGCACAUCCCAUAAUUAAUGCCCGCCUCCAAGGCCUGAGAUGCUUCGUAGCGAGGAAGCAGGUGAGUGCUAAACCAGACUCUCUCCAAUGAAGUUUCGAAGAUGAGUCUCACUGUCCCCUCUGUCUCAGGUGACACAUCUGCACUUCUCCAGGGGGGAUCUGUGUUGUGAAAACAACUGAGUCACAAAGGAAAUUUUAAUAUUUAGUCUAAUGACAUUGGGGUAAUUCAACAACAAGAGAAAUACAAAAUUACAUUGCAUGACCAGACAGAAAAAGAUCUGGUAGGUGUUUUCUGGCCAGUGGCCAGGUAAACGCUGAUUAUAUAAGCAAGUCCUUGACCUAAUACCCUACAGGAUGCUAAGGAGCCCAAGAGGCCCACCCUUAGCCUGUUGAUCUGACUCCAAGGAGACCCUGUGGCAAACUCCCUGAGCCUUUGACAGUCUCUGCUUACCAAAGAGUUUUGAAGGGCUUCCCUGUGACCUUCAUGGCAAAAGAAAGAUUAAAAGAAAGUUUUUCCUCUUGAGAUAACUGGCAAAGCUCUUACUAUAGACAUUGCUGCUGCCUUCCGUGAUGAGGAGGCCCUGACCUGAGGACCCAGUGAGCCACACGUGGCUAUGCAGCCCAGGAGUGCCCACUGACUAUGCAUUUACAGGCAUGCAUUUUUCUGGAGCAAGUGGUGCACCAACUCUGUCCAACAGAAAUACAGCCCAAGUCACAUGCAUUUUUUUUUCUAACUCCCGAUAGCCACAUUUUAAGAAGCAAAAAGGAAACAGGUGGAAAUUAUUUAAUAGCAGUUUAAUCUAAUAUUAUUAUUGUUUUGAUGUGCAAAUGAUGUAGGGUGUCAGGAAAACAUUUUCCUCUAUUCUUUGUUACCUAUUCUAAAUCUGCUGUCUUUUACACGCCCAGCACAUCAUCAUUAUUACUAGCCACAGUUCAAGCUUUCCGUAGCCACAUGUGCCUAGUGGCCACCAGCCGGGCAGCACAGCCCAAGAAAUGUUCCAGAAUCCUUACAAGUGCUCUCCUGACUGUGACAGGAGAAAAAGGAUAAGAUUACCUCAGGUUUUCCCCAAAAGAAAAACAGACUUUAGCCAAGUUACCUAAGGAGACAGCCAGGGAUGUUCUUAUUCCAUAAGUAAUAGCGGUUCAAAUAGCCUUUAUCAACUUUCUAAACACAGUGUCCACUGUCCUCAGCAACUGUUGCUUCUCUGACGAGCUGUUUGUUAAAAAACAACAAGACAACCAACCAUGCUGAUUUGGUGCUGAAAUAAAAUUACACCCUCACUUUUAUGACAAACCCUGAGACUCAUGUGAGAGACUUACACCCCUCACUUCUAUGACUAAUCCCAAGACUCUUAAUGUGACACUUAGCCAAAGAGAAUUUACCUCAACCCAUAGUUCUUCAUCCCUGUGGCUGCCCCGUUCUAAAGCAGUAGAACUCAGAGACAGGAAAGGCGCAGGAAACCGCAGGCCGAGCCACAUACCCGGUCUGUGUGGCAUUGCCGAGAAAGGAUCUCUGAGCUUGUGGCCAUCCAGCCUCUAUGUGGUGAAUGGCGAGCAGCUUUCUCUUCAGCUUUGUCCAAGGUUGAGAGAGGAAAAGAGCCCUGAACUCCCUCAGAGUCACUUUCAGAAUGGCUUCCUCCUGCGUGGUUAAUCCUUCUAAAGGGCUGCUGCCUCCUAAGAACAGCCUUGGGUCUGGCAGGGCCUUCAAGGUCAGUUCUGGUCACACACCCAAGGGAUGGAUAUAGUAUGGAGACAGGAGAUGAUAAGGUAUCAGAGGCAAUCAGGCAGUGGUGGCUCACACCUUUGAACCCAGCACUCAGGCAGGUGGAUCUCAGUGAGUUUGAGGUCAGCCCGGUCUAUGAAGCAAGUUCUGGGACAGCUACAGAGACAAAUACUGGGUGGAGGCAGGGGCAGAGGUGGGGAGGAGUACCAGAGGCACCUAGCUAUUUCAACAUUGUGUGUGACAUCCUGGCCAUGGAAGCAAGUCUCUCUCCAGAGAUUUGUUGUUGUUGUUGUUGUUGUUGUUGUUGUUGUUGUUGUUGCUUUAACAUUUUCAUCUGUGGGUAUUCAAGGGUCUAGCCUGUUAAGAAUGGCUGUGCCCAGUGGCCAUUUUCUUUACAGCCCAGACAUUCCUGGGACUACAACACUUCCAGAACCAAAAGAGAACAUCAGUCUGCCUAAGAUUCUUGGUGUAAGCUUAGUUGGUGCUGAAGUAGAUUGCAUAAGCAUUUAAUGGCAUUUAGUUGUCCACUGAAUGCAUAUCCUUGGCUGAACACCAUGAAAAUUACCAAAUAAAAACUUUCAAAAAUUUUAGGAAAGAUCAUCAUGCAAUCUACAAAGAGAAGGUCCAGUCUCUGCAGUGCUGAGGUACUGAGGCCAGGGAGAUGAUGUCCUGU
This 2516-nucleotide long non-coding RNA is filed under the name Mus musculus (house mouse). Its description in RNAcentral is "long non-coding RNA chr8:83085240-83087756". Lineage: Eukaryota; Metazoa; Chordata; Mammalia; Rodentia; Muridae. The record is from RNAcentral.